CAGUCGCCGCGGUAAUACGGAGGGUGCAAGCGUUAAUCGGAAUUACUGGGCGUAAAGCGUGCGUAGGCGGUUCGUUAAGUCUGUUGUGAAAGCCCCGGGCUCAACCUGGGAAUGGCAAUGGAUACUGGCGAGCUAGAGUGUGUCAGAGGAUGGUGGAAUUCCCGGUGUAGCGGUGAAAUGCGUAGAGAUCGGGAGGAACAUCAGUGGCGAAGGCGGCCAUCUGGGACAACACUGACGCUGAGGCACGAAAGCGUGGGGAGCAAACAGGAUUAGAUACCCCUGUAGUCCCUGUCUCUUAUAC
RNAcentral lists this ribosomal RNA (301 nucleotides) under uncultured bacterium. RNAcentral's name for it is "partial 16S ribosomal RNA". It matches the Rfam family "Bacterial small subunit ribosomal RNA", at positions 509 to 807 of the family's 1533-position model. The record is from RNAcentral.